This 481-nucleotide ribosomal RNA is filed under the name uncultured bacterium. Its description in RNAcentral is "partial 16S ribosomal RNA". It matches the Rfam family "Bacterial small subunit ribosomal RNA", at positions 29 to 523 of the family's 1533-position model. The record is from RNAcentral.
ACGAACGCUGGCGGCGCGCCUAACACAUGCAAGUCGAACGAGCGAGAGAGAGCUUGCUUUCUCGAGCGAGUGGCGAACGGGUGAGUAACGCGUGAGGAACCUGCCUCAAAGAGGGGAACAACAGUUGGAAACGACUGCUAAUACCGCAUAAGCCCACGACCCGGCAUCGGGUCGAGGGAAAAGGAGCAAUCCGCUUUGAGAUGGCCUCGCGUCCGAUUAGCUAGUUGGUGAGGUAACGGCCCACCAAGGCGACGAUCGGUAGCCGGACUGAGAGGUUGAACGGCCACAUUGGGACUGAGACGCGGCCCAGACUCCUACGGGAGGCAGCAGUGGGGAAUAUUGCACAAUGGGGGAAACCCUGAUGCAGCGACGCCGCGUGGAGGAAGAAGGUCUUCGGAUUGUAAACUCCUGUUGUUGAGGAAGAUAAUGACGGUACUCAACAAGGAAGUGACGGCUAACUACGUGCCAGCAGCCGCCGUAA